GCGGAUGUGGUGGAAUUGGUAGACACGCCAGGUUUAGGUCCUGGUGCCUUCGGGCGUGGGAGUUCAAGUCUCCCCAUCCGCACCA
RNAcentral lists this transfer RNA (85 nucleotides) under Halomonas ventosae. RNAcentral describes it as "tRNA-Leu". It matches the Rfam family "tRNA". From Rfam's summary of the family: Transfer RNA (tRNA) molecules are approximately 80 nucleotides in length. Their secondary structure includes four short double-helical elements and three loops (D, anti-codon, and T loops). Further hydrogen bonds mediate the characteristic L-shaped molecular structure. tRNAs have two regions of fundamental functional importance: the anti-codon, which is responsible for specific mRNA codon recognition, and the 3' end, to which the tRNAs corresponding amino acid is attached (by aminoacyl-tRNA synthetases). tRNAs cope with the degeneracy of the genetic code in two manners: having more than one tRNA (with a specific anti-codon) for a particular amino acid; and 'wobble' base-pairing, i.e. permitting non-standard base-pairing at the 3rd anti-codon position. Lineage: Bacteria; Pseudomonadati; Pseudomonadota; Gammaproteobacteria; Oceanospirillales; Halomonadaceae. RNAcentral also lists the same sequence under 9 other names. The record is from RNAcentral.